UACAGAAUAUAUACAUAUGUAUAUAAAGCAUUCAGUACAUUUUCUUUGCUCCUUAAACUCAAAUAGCAAGGUGAAGUGAAGAGGCUUUUUAGAGCUGCACAGAAGAGAAACAUUCCAAAGGUUCACAACUUGAAACAGCAUACCAUAAUUUGGACUGAGACAACCAGACCAUAGAAACAUUUAGGAAACUAAGAAUAUGGUUCCUGCAUUCAAAUGUUGACUACAUUAUGGAUAUGAUGUGGUGUCCAAAGCACAAAAUGAAUUAGUGGUCACUGGGGUAAUUGUUUAAGUAAAUAAAUAAGAUUUUUUUUCUCUGCUAAAAUGUGAAUGAAAAUAACAUUCUAGGAGAUAAAAAAUUUAAAUAAUAUUAAAUCAUAAUUUAAUUGAAAUAAUAUUCUAGAAGUUAAAAAAUUCUUUAAAACCCUUUUUUAUUGUCUAGUUAUUGACAGAUCCCUCUAUCGUUUUCAACUUAACAGAGAAAUGGAAACGCUGGGAGGUUUGUCCAAGGUCACAGAUCAAGUGAUCUAUACAUAGCCAACCAACCACAGGGCACCCAAAAUGUUCUUACUCAAAAGACUUAAUAGCUUCUACCAAAAAUAACUGCUUCAGUCAAAGAGAGAAGGAUAAUUGCUACUUCCACAGACAACAUAAGAAACCAGACUCAUUUCAGCCCAGAAAGCAACAUUAAAUGACCACCCACACACCCCAUCACAUAUUUAUCUCCUCCAGCUGCAAGACCCUCUUCUCUUCGGCUUCUCACUGACCUAGAAAGAACUAAUGAAUAAGGUCUAAAACAGAUGCAAAGGCAGUCCACAUAAGAAGUAUACUGCUGCGGGUAGAAAUUACUUCAUCAGAUUUUUUUUGCUACUACCUCAAAGACCUAAAGCAGCACCUCAAAGAAACGAGAAAUUUCAUGAGUAAGGGAAGGAAAGGAACCGGGAGAUCAGAAAACACCAGGAUGAAAGGCUGUGUGAAUAUGGGCAAGAGCCGUGACCUUUCCAAGCCCCAGUUACUCUUUGAAAGGUGGAGAUAAAUAAAAUUAUCUAAUUGAAUGCGUUGUUGGAGAAUUAAAUAAUAUAAUGCAUACUGGUCCACCUCAGUGUAGUGAACAUUCACUGAAUGUUAAAUUGUUGAACAUUUAAAUGUUAAAAUGUUGAAUUGUUCUUGAUCUUAGGAUUGUCAAUGAUAAUUGAUCAGGCAGGAGUAAAGGAUUAAUUCCAGUGGGUAUUUUCACCUGAGGUUGCAAGGAUUUCUUUCCUCAAUGUAAGUUUUUAUCAUCAGUACCAAUAUCUACACAUGUAUCUUUCCACCUGUUACCAACUGGCCCUUCAAAUAUACUUACCAAACUGUUUAAGGAUGUGAAUGACUUCAGUUGAGAAUAUCAUUGGGAUUUAAUGUGCUUUGAAAAUGGAAACUUUCACACUCAGUGAUUAAAAAUUUGGCACUUAAUGUAAUCAACUGGGAAUGUUAACAGUCAGCAUUAAAACACACAAUACCUAUCCUGGAGCUUCUAUAAGGCACAGCUAACAAUAAUCACCAGCCUUGCAGUUCGUAUCAGGAAAUACUGUGUAAGCACAGCUACACUUCAUUAAUGCAGAAGAACUAAACUGUUUUCAGCUAGAGGGAACGUGUAAUGCAACAUAAGUAAGUAAGUGGAGAUUGAUCCACCUACACCUACACACUUUAAUGGACAUUAUUACAGCUUUGAAAUUCCAUGAAGGAGUGUUUAUUAGCAAGAUCAAGCUAAUUGAGGGCAGUGAUUCUCAAGCUCCUAUGGCAUAAGGAUCAACAUGACGACCUUAAUAAAAGUAUCUUAUCGCAAAUCUCUCC
Molecule: long non-coding RNA, 1830 nt
Filed under: Callithrix jacchus (white-tufted-ear marmoset)
Lineage: Eukaryota; Metazoa; Chordata; Mammalia; Primates; Cebidae
Description: lncRNA (ENSCJAG00000082334.1)
Source: RNAcentral